This 336-nucleotide unclassified non-coding RNA is filed under the name soil metagenome. RNAcentral describes it as "partial contains 5.8S ribosomal RNA, internal transcribed spacer 2, and large subunit ribosomal RNA". The stretch from base 1 to 120 matches the Rfam family "5.8S ribosomal RNA", at positions 35 to 154 of the family's 154-position model. The record is from RNAcentral.
GAUGAAGAACGCAGCGAAAUGCGAUAAGUAAUGUGAAUUGCAGAAUUCAGCGAAUCAUCGAAUCUUUGAACGCACAUUGCGCCCGCCAGUAUUCUGGCGGGCAUGCCUGUUCGAGCGUCAUUUCAACCAUCAAGCCCCAGGCUUGUGUUGGGGACCUGCGGCUGCCGCAGGCCCUGAAAACCAGUGGCGGGCUCGCUGUCACACCGGGCGUAGUAGAUUUUAUCUCGCUCUGGGCGUGCUGCGGGUUCCGGCCGUUAAAAAACCCUUUUAACCCAAGGUUGACCUCGGAUCAGGUAGGAAUACCCGCUGAACUUAAGCAUAUCAAUAAGCGGAGGA